UACGUAGGGGGCAAGCGUUGUCCGGAUUUAUUGGGCGUAAAGAGCGUGUAGGCGGCUUUACAGGUCCGUUGUGAAAACUCGAGGCUCAACCUCGAGACGCCGGUGGAAACCGUAAAGCUAGAGUCCGGAAGAGGAGAGUGGAAAUUCCUGGUGUAGCGGUGAAAUGCGCAGAUAUCAGGAGGAACACCCGUGGCGAAAGCGGCUCUCUGGGACGGUACUGACGCUGAGACGCGAAAGCGUGGGGAGCAAACAGG
This 254-nucleotide ribosomal RNA is filed under the name uncultured bacterium. RNAcentral describes it as "partial 16S ribosomal RNA". It matches the Rfam family "Bacterial small subunit ribosomal RNA", at positions 524 to 776 of the family's 1533-position model. The record is from RNAcentral.